Molecule: long non-coding RNA, 262 nt
Organism: Tupaia belangeri chinensis (Chinese tree shrew)
Lineage: Eukaryota; Metazoa; Chordata; Mammalia; Scandentia; Tupaiidae
Exons: 3
Source: RefSeq, a predicted model, not a curated record
AUCGCCCUUUCAUUUCCAUCGAUCCGACGGCAGAAAGUGAUAGCCCUUUGUUACUUUCUCUGUAUUUCCUCGUCUCCGGGAGCUGCCAGACCACACAUGCUGCCUCCCUUGGGCUCAGGACAGCCACAGGCUGAGUUCUGCACAACGGAUGGGUGGAAGUGGGGAAGACUAGUUCCAGAGAGAGCUCAACACAAGCACACGCAAAGCCAUGGGCAGGUAGACGGGGCAUGCCUGAGCGCUUGAUGUUCGCGAGCCAGUGGUG